Molecule: long non-coding RNA, 947 nt
Filed under: Physcomitrium patens
Lineage: Eukaryota; Viridiplantae; Streptophyta; Bryopsida; Funariales; Funariaceae
Description: long non-coding RNA (PPAT_LNC003437)
Source: RNAcentral
AACACAAUUCGAUAAUCUCAAUUCUCAAGGUCACAAUUUUUUUUCAAAACGGUCAGUCCAAAGUCAUAUUCCAUAAUAUUCUAAUCACAAUUUCAACAAUACUUCUCUCAAUUACAAUUCUUCAUAAGAAAAUAAUAAAAACAAAGAAAAUAAAGAGGUAGUACUAAGCUUACCCCGGCUUACGACUCUUAUAGUGUGGCUCCGAUCUUCCACUUCUCAACCUUUUUAUCUUACUAAAAGAUGGAUCAUCGGCCAACAGAUUCCAAAGAUUAUGAUCCUUUGAAUUCUUAACCAUUUGUUCUACUAAUAACCUAUUGUUACCAACUAAACUGCCUAACCAUCAGUCUAAUUCUCAAGGUUGUCAAUAAUCAACCAAUAACUUAUCACAAAAUUUAUUUACAUAUUCUAUAUAGCCCCACUCCUAAUUAUGCAGCAUCCUCACAAUUAUUAUUUGGCCUCAACUUAUAAAAACGCAGCAGCAUUGGCUUCUUUAGUCAAUGACGUUGACUUAUUACCCUUUGAAUUGGUAUCCUUCUCUUUUGCUAUAUCUUUGUCAUUUGCCUCGGUGUUCGAUGGUUCUUCAUUCAAACGCGUCAUCAGAUCUUCAUUCAACAAAUCCAAUUCUCGUACCUGAGACUCAAGAUGGCAAUUUGGUUGUCGGGCUCGUCCAACAUCUUCUAAAAUUCUUUUGUCGGUUUCAAAGGUAUCUCCAAAGGUGUUGUCAUUGAAACUGACAUAUUGGUCUAUAGCAAAUUAUUGGCUUCCUUCUCUAAUGCGGCUAGUUUAGUCUACAACAUUGCAACCUCUACCUACAGCCACUCUUGUCGUUCCUUCCAAUCAGUCUCCAUCUUUGCUUUUUUAGACACCAUGUUUGCCAUCUUCUCCUUUUCCACCAUCCACUUCUCUUUAACCACAAAAGAAAAUACGAUGCUUGUUAAGAAUCCCUC